AAGAACGCAAGUACCGUUAGGGAAGAAUAAAAAGGAAAAAAGAAGAGAUUAAAACUUGUACCUUUUGCAUUAUGGGUUAUUUAUUGGUAAAAGUAGUUAAAUUCCUGAAAUUCUCCGAGCUACCCCAACUACCACUUGAAUUGUUACAUAACUUUUUAGAAAGCUGGGGUAGAGGUGAUAUGCCUUUCAAGGAGAGUGAUAUCUGGUUGUAGACGAAUUGCAUAUAGUGCAGCCCAACACGCACGUUGGAGUGAGGGAGAAGGGGCUAAGCUCUUCUCCAUUAGAAAAGAGGUGUCCUUGCGGAGGGUGAAAGUGGGCUUAAAACCAGCCAUCUAUAGAGUGAGUUAUAUCUCACACCCCCCACAUAAAGAUUAGAUAGCAAUCUUAAUGUGUAGUCUACCAGCUCACUGAACUUGGUGGGCAAGAUUAGAAUAACAUGAGUAGUGGUAGCUUCUAUCCGGCGCGUGUGGCAUAGAUGCGCGCCCACUAUAAGGAGCAAAGAUAGUCCCUGACAAGGAAUUCGGCAACAAUUAACCCCGCCUGUUUAUCAAAAACAUGGCCCUGCGAUAUAUAAUGCAGGGUCGAACCUGCCCAGUGACGUCAAGUUAAACGGCCGCUGUAAUGGGUGCAAAGGUAGCAAAAUCUAUUGCCCUUUAAUUGGGGGCGUGUGAAUGGUUUGACGUGGGUUAAACUGUCUCGUCAGGGUUUAGUGAAAUUUACUUUUAGGUGCAAAGGCCUGAAUAGUGGGGUUGGACGAGAAGACCCUGUAGAGCUUUACCUUUAGGUUUGGUUGGGGCAACCAAAAAGCAUGAAAAACCUUUUUAUUAUUUAAGAUAUAUAUGAGCCGCAUAGAGCGAUAUUAGAAAAAGCUACCGCAGGGAUAACAGCGUAAUCUUUCCUGAGAGUUCAUAUUGACGGGAGGGUUUGCGACCUCGAUGUUGAAUUAAGGCAUCCUUGAGGCGCAGAAGCCUCAAAGGGUGGGUCUGUUCGACCUUUAAAGCCUUACAUGAUUUGAGUUCAGACCGGCGUGAGCCAGGUUGGUUUCUAUCCUCCCCAUGAAACAGAGGCUUGUUUGUACGAAAGGACCAUAAGCCCUAGCUGAGCUAGGUGAUAA
Molecule: ribosomal RNA, 1114 nt
Filed under: Cryolaternula elliptica
Lineage: Eukaryota; Metazoa; Mollusca; Bivalvia; Laternulidae
Description: 16S ribosomal RNA
Rfam family: Bacterial large subunit ribosomal RNA
Source: RNAcentral